UCUGCAACCCGACUCCAUGAAGCUGGAUUCGCUAGUAAUCGCGCAUCAGCCACGGCGCGGUGAAUACGUUCCCGGGCCUUGUACACACCGCCCGUCAAGCCAUGGAAGCCGGGGGUGCCUGAAGUGCGCUGCCGCAAGGAGCGUCCUAGGGUAAAACCGGUGACUGGGGCUAAGUCGUAACAAGGUAUC
Molecule: ribosomal RNA, 189 nt
Filed under: uncultured bacterium
Lineage: Bacteria
Description: partial 16S ribosomal RNA
Rfam family: Bacterial small subunit ribosomal RNA
Source: RNAcentral